RNAcentral lists this ribosomal RNA (4320 nucleotides) under Candidatus Liptonbacteria bacterium CG11_big_fil_rev_8_21_14_0_20_35_14. Its description in RNAcentral is "bacterial LSU rRNA". The stretch from base 1 to 2746 matches the Rfam family "Bacterial large subunit ribosomal RNA". Lineage: Bacteria; Candidatus Liptoniibacteriota. The record is from RNAcentral.
UUGCAUAAGGGCAUACGGUGGAUGCCUAGACACUAAAAGAGCGAUGAAGGACGUGGCGUAACGACGAUACGCUUCGGGGAGGUGUGUAGCAACCUACGAUCCGGAGAUUUCCGAAUGGGGAAACCCAGUACAGUAAACCUGUAUUAUACAUUUUAUGUAUGCAAACCCGCUGAAGUGAAACAUCUCAGUAAGCGGAGGAAAAGAAAACACAAAUAGUGAUUCCCUGAGUAGCGGCGAGUUAAAAGGGAAGAGCCCAAACCAAAAUAUUAGUUUACUAAUUUUUGGGGUUGUAAGGUAUAUACAUUCUUUUUUCAACCUAGAUCACCCUAGUUUAAUGAUUUAGGUUGAGGAAAGAGAAAAGUUAUAAAUGGACACGUUAGUCGAGUCGUGCUGGAAAGCCGAACUAAAAAAGGUGAAAGUCCUGUAGACGAAAACGUGCUCACUUUUUUGUAUAUAUUCUUGAGUACCUCGAGGGCAGAAAACCUUGAGGGAAUCUGCGAGUACUGUCUCGUAAGGCUAAAUAUCUUUAGUGAUCGAUAGUGAACAAGUACCGUGAGGGAAAGGUGAAAAGCAGGCCGGUGAGGCCGAUGAAAUAGAACCUGAAACCGUAUGCUUACAAGGAGGCGGAGUCCCGAUUUAUCGUGGAUGACGCCGUGCCUAUUGAAGAAUGAGCCAACGAGUUUAUGUAUAUCCUUUGUUUAACUUCUACGGAAGGAAGGCGUAGCGAAAGCGAGUGUUAAUAGCGCGUUUAGGAUAUGGAUAAGACCCGAAGCCAGAUGAGCUUGCCAUGGGCAGGGUGAACCCUACCGAAAGGUAGGGGGAGGCCCGCACCGUUAGGUCGUUUAACGCCUUCGGAUGACCUGUGGUAAGGAGUGAAAAGCUAAUCGAAUCUGGUAAUAGCUGGUUCUCUCCGAAAUAGUUUUUGGACUAGCCUUGAGUGUUUAUGUGUGGGGGUAGAGCACUGGAUGGUCUGAGUAGGAGGAAACUUCGCCAGACCAAUCAAACUCCGAAUACCAUACAAUAUAACUCAGGAGUUAGACUGCGGGGGCUAAGCUCCGUGGUCAAAAGGGAAACAGCCCUAAUCGCAAACUAAGGUCCCAAAAUUUACGCUAAGUGCAUGCAAGGUAGUAUAGUGCCAUAGACAGAUAGGAGGUGGGCUUAGAGGUAGCCAUCCUUUAAAGAGUGUGUAACAACUCACUAUUCAAUGGCAAGAUGCGCCGAGAAUGUAACGGGGCUAAGCGUAGUACCGAAGUUGCGGAUUUAUAUUUUUUUAAAAUAUAAGUGGUAGGAGAGCGUUCUAUAUGCACUGAAGGUGAUUUGUGAAAAUUGCUGGAGCGUAUAGAAGUGAGAAUGUUGGCAUGAGUAACCACAAUGCGGAUGAGAAAUCCGCACCCCGAAAACCCGAGGUUUCCGUGGCACUGGCAAUCAGCCACGGGUUAGGCGACCCUUAGUGUAUGGCGAAAGCCGCACGCGAUGGAUUGCUGGUUAAUAUUCCAGCCCCACCUAUGUUUUUCAAUGAGGGGACGGAGGAAAAGAGAUUGAUCGCCUUAAUGGUUUGGCGUCGCUUGAUUGUAGGAUGGGUAAGCCGUAAAUCGACUUAUCUGCUUUUAAUAGCAACCUCCAAAAUCCGGCGAAAAUUUGAGGGCUAAAGCCCCUCAAGUGAUUCAAUCGCAGAGCCUUCCAAGAAAAGCCUCUAGAGUUAAGGCAUAGGUGUUCGUACCGCAAACCAACACCGGUGGGUAGGGCGAGUAGCCCAAGGGGAACAAGUGAAAUCUCGCUAAGGAACUCGGCAAAAUAGCGGCCGUAAGUUCGCAAUAAGGCCUGCCACCUUCGGGUGGCCGCAGCUAAAGAAUCUCUGGCGACUGUUUAUCAAAAACACAGCUCCCUGCUAACACGUAAGUGGAUGUAUAGGGGGUGACACCUGACCGAUGCGAGAAGGUUAACGUUGGCGGUAUCUGCUUUCGGGUAGAUGCUGACUGACCGAAGCCCUCGUCAAUGUCAGCGGUAACUAUAACCGUUCUAAGGUAGCGCAUUUCCUUUCCGGGUAAGUUCCGGAGCGCACGAAAGGUGUAACGACUGGAGAACUGUCUCAGCGAGAAGCUUGGUGAAAAUACGAUACCCGUGAAGACGCGGGUUACCUGCAGUGGGACGAAAAGACCCCAGGAGCUUUACUGUAGCUUGGUAUUGGUCUUGUUCUUUUAAUGCGUAGCAUAGGUGGGAGACUUUGAAGUUCCGAUUUCGGUCGGGAUGGAGUCGCAAUAUGAAAUACCACUCUUUAUUGGGGCAAGGUCUAACCUAUAAGGAAUCUAUUUGGUAAACCUUAUGGAGACAGUGCCUGGUGGGCAGUUUUUCUGGGGCGGAAUCCUCCUAAAAAGUAACGGAGGAGUUUAAAGGUCAGCUAGACUCGGAUGGAAAUCGAGUUGGUCGUAUAAAGGCAAAAGCUGGCUUGACUGCAAGACCUACAAGUCGAGCAGACGCGAAAGCGGAACUUAAUGACCCGACGAACCUUUACAGGAAGGUCGGAGACAACGGAUAAAAGCUACCCUGGGGAUAACAGGCUAGUCUUGCCCGAGCGUCCAUAGCGACGGCAAGGUUCGGCACCUCGAUGUCGGCUCAUCUUAGCGCGGGGCUGGAGAAGGUCCCAAGCGUUUGGCUGUUCGCCAAUUAAAAAGGUACGCGAGCUGGGUUCAGACCGUUUAGAAGCGGAUAUUUAUCGGCUUUUAAACAGUCUGAGCCCGAGGCAAAUGACAUCAUACACGGCGGCCAUAGAAAGUAAUUUCUAUGUGUAAAGCUAACUUAUAUCGGUGAAGUCCUAGUGAUAAGUUAUUUUAAAAUAACCUGUCAUAUGUUAGGAUAAUACCGAGGGAAGUCUUAUAUGUUAAAAUCACUUACACCAAUUAAGAAAUCAUACAUAGCCGGUUUCCUUGAUGGAGACGGUAGUAUAUAUGCUAGAGCUAAACCUAAUAAAUCAUAUAAAUAUGAUUUUUAAAUAGCUUUAUAUAUAGUUCUUUUUCAAGCUCAAAAAGAUAAAGAAGCUUUUAAGAAAAUAUGCAACUUAAUUGGUUUUGGAAAAUUAAGAUUAAGAAAAGAUGGAAUAUUAGAAUAUUCAAUAAAUCGUAUAGAUGACAUUGAAUCUUUUAUUAAAAAUAUUUCUCCAUUUUUAAUUCUUAAGAAAAAACAAGCAGAUUUAAUGCUUAAAAUUAUAAAAGCUAAAAAAUCUGUUAAAAAUGAAAAUGAUUUUCAAAAACUUUUAGAUUUAAUUUAUAUCUAUAAAGAUUUAAAUUAUUCUAAAAAUAGAAAAAAACGUAUAAUGACACCCGUAGAGACUAAACGUUAGCCUCCUUAAUAGAUUAAGGAUGAAUUUAUAGUCCAAUGCCAUUAGUAAUAAUGGGAAUACAUGCGUGAGACAGGUUGGUCUCUAUCUACUGCAGGCGUUAAAUAUUUGAGGGAAGCUGACUCUAGUAAAAAAUUGCUACUUCAUGAAGUAAUUCAUGAUGACAAAACGGCUAAUAACGGUGAAACCUUCAUAAAUUAUAUGGUCAGUAUCACGGCUCAUAAGUGACAACGGUCCGUCUCUUAUGGUAUAAUACUUGAGGACCAAUAAUUUUUAAGGCAAUACCGUGGGAAGUCAAUCUAAAAUAAAUAUGGCAUAUAUAGCAGGCUUUCUUGAUGGAGAUGGUAGUUUAAUGAUUCAAGUUAAAAAAAGACGAGAUCUUAAGUUUAAGAAAAAACAGGCUGAAAUUAUGUUAAAAACAUCAUCUUUAUUAGAAUCCAAAAAAAUAUCAGAUUUAAACAAAUCGGAUCUUAAAAAAAUUAUAAAUUGGAUUUUGUCUAUUCAAAGUGAAAAUUACAAAUCACAUAGAAAGAAAAGUAAAGAAGACCUUGUGAAAAUUUUAGGUUUGACCCCGUAACGACUGAUCCGAAAGGAGAGAGUAUUAUUUAAUAAUACUAAUACGCCGUCCCCAAUCCUCUUAAAAAUUUAAGAGAAAUUUAAAGAAUAUGAAGUUAAACUUCUAAGUUCCAAAGAUUGGGUGAAGAUAUAGUCUGCGCCCCUAGAAAUAGGGGAAUAAACACUAAUUAAGUGUAAGCGACGAGAGGACCGAGUUGGACGAACCACUGGUCUAUCGGCUUUGCCACCAGGUGAAAUGCCGAGUAGCUAUGUUCGGACGGGAUAACCGCUGAAAGCAUCUAAGCGGGAAGCCUCUCCCAAGAUAAGAUAUAUGUUCUCGUGGAAGACUACCACGUUGAUAGGCUCUAGGUGUACGCACAGUAAUGUGUUUAGCCAAGGAGUACUAAUGAACGAGCAGUCGUCUCAACCAU